AGAGUUUGAUCAUGGCUCAGAUUGAACGCUGGCGGCAGGCCUAACACAUGCAAGUCGAACGGUAACAUUUCUAGCUUGCUAGAAGAUGACGAGUGGCGGACGGGUGAGUAAUACUUAGGAAUAUGCCUUUGUGUGGGGGAUAACUAUUGGAAACGAUAGCUAAUACCGCAUAACGUCUUCGGACCAAAGGGGGCUUCGGCUCCCGCGCAAAGAGUAGCCUAAGCGAGAUUAGCUUGUUGGUGAGGUAAAGGCUCACCAAGGCGACGAUCUCUAGCUGUUCUGAGAGGAAGAUCAGCCACACUGGAACUGAGACACGGUCCAGACUCCUACGGGAGGCAGCAGUGGGGAAUAUUGCACAAUGGGCGAAAGCCUGAUGCAGCCAUGCCGCGUGUGUGAAGAAGGCCUUCGGGUUGUAAAGCACUUUCAGUUGUGAGGAAAGGUUAACGGUUAAUACCCGUUAGCUGUGACGUUAGCAACAGAAGAAGGACCGGCUAACUCCGUGCCAGCAGCCGCGGUAAUACGGAGGGUCCGAGCGUUAAUCGGAAUUACUGGGCGUAAAGCGCACGCAGGCGGUUUGUUAAGCUAGAUGUGAAAGCCCUGGGCUCAACCUGGGAAUUGCAUUUAGAACUGGCAGGCUAGAGUUUUGGAGAGGGGAGUGGAAUUCCAGGUGUAGCGGUGAAAUGCGUAGAUAUCUGGAGGAACAUCAGUGGCGAAGGCGACUCCCUGGUCAGUAACUGACGCUCAUGUGCGAAAGUGUGGGUAGCGAACAGGAUUAGAUACCCUGGUAGUCCACACCGUAAACGCUGUCUACUAGCUGUUUGUGGAUUUAAUCCGUGAGUAGCGAAGCUAACGCGAUAAGUAGACCGCCUGGGGAGUACGGCCGCAAGGUUAAAACUCAAAUGAAUUGACGGGGGCC
RNAcentral lists this ribosomal RNA (916 nucleotides) under uncultured Alteromonadaceae bacterium. RNAcentral describes it as "bacterial SSU rRNA". It matches the Rfam family "Bacterial small subunit ribosomal RNA", at positions 8 to 921 of the family's 1533-position model. Lineage: Bacteria; Pseudomonadati; Pseudomonadota; Gammaproteobacteria; Alteromonadales; Alteromonadaceae. The record is from RNAcentral.